Molecule: ribosomal RNA, 253 nt
Filed under: uncultured bacterium
Lineage: Bacteria
Description: partial 16S ribosomal RNA
Rfam family: Bacterial small subunit ribosomal RNA
Source: RNAcentral
UACAGAGGUCCCGAGCGUUGUUCGGAUUUACUGGGCGUAAAGGGUGCGUAGGUGGUUGGGCAAGUCUGAUGUGAAAGCCCCGGGCUCAACCCGGGAACGGCAUUAGAAACUGCCUGGCUGGAGGUUUGGAGGGGGGACUGGAAUUCCCGGUGUAGCAGUGAAAUGCGUAGAUAUCGGGAGGAACGCCAGUGGCGAAGGCGAGUCCCUGGACAACACCUGACACUGAGGCACGAAAGCCAGGGGAGCAAACAGG